This 246-nucleotide ribosomal RNA is filed under the name Triticum aestivum (bread wheat). Its description in RNAcentral is "partial small subunit ribosomal RNA". Lineage: Eukaryota; Viridiplantae; Streptophyta; Magnoliopsida; Poales; Poaceae. The record is from RNAcentral.
AUGGAUCAGGGCUGGGCGAGCUGGUUCGGCGCCGGCGUCACCUCCGCCUUCUUCGCCUCGCUCGAGCGCUGCUCCUGCAUCAACCUCUCCACCGACGACGACGACGACGAGGAAGAGGCCAACGACCGCCCCCUCAUGCUCGCCGCCCCCUCCGACCAGCCCCAGCUCGACGCCGCCCCCGCCCCCGCCGUCGCCGCCGGCAAGGAGGAGGAGCAGGAGCAGGGGCCUCCCCUCCCGCCCGUGUGA